GACAUGACUCUCGGCAACGGAUAUCUCGGCUCUCGCAUCGAUGAAGAACGUAGCGAAAUGCGAUACCUGGUGUGAAUUGCAGAAUCCCGCGAACCAUCGAGUCUUUGAACGCAAGUUGCGCCCGAGGCCUUUCGGCUGAGGGCACGCCUGCCUGGGCGUCACGC
RNAcentral lists this ribosomal RNA (164 nucleotides) under Anthoxanthum redolens. RNAcentral describes it as "5.8S ribosomal RNA". It matches the Rfam family "5.8S ribosomal RNA". Rfam says of the family: 5.8S ribosomal RNA (5.8S rRNA) is a component of the large subunit of the eukaryotic ribosome. It is transcribed by RNA polymerase I as part of the 45S precursor that also contains 18S and 28S rRNA. Functionally, it is thought that 5.8S rRNA may be involved in ribosome translocation. Lineage: Eukaryota; Viridiplantae; Streptophyta; Magnoliopsida; Poales; Poaceae. The record is from RNAcentral.